Molecule: long non-coding RNA, 1578 nt
Organism: Nematostella vectensis (starlet sea anemone)
Lineage: Eukaryota; Metazoa; Cnidaria; Anthozoa; Actiniaria; Edwardsiidae
Exons: 3
Source: RefSeq, a predicted model, not a curated record
UGAUCGAUGACAGCCACUACAAUCUCUAUAACAUUUCGGAGACCUUCCUUUUUAGAUGAGAAAAUAAUCGAAAACAUAUCAGCAAGUUUGGGGCAUUCCUGAUGGUGCAAAAUGCAAGUCAGAUGCAUGUCGGGUGCAGGUUGAGUGCAAAAUGCAGGCGCCAGCACGUUCGCGACACAGCAACAAAUCGCGAUGUUCAUUGGAAGAACAGGAAUUGCCGCUACAACAUACGACUUUUGCUCCCCUCUUAAACUCGCCAGACUCAACCUCCGUUUUCUACCGUCUCCAAUGCCCUCUUCGUGUGAGUCUACGCUUUGAUCGAACCCCCAAGCGGUCGUUAACUUCGGCGCAGUAAGAGCAAGGGUUUGUUUCACUGUUCUUUCACCUUGCUCUUCUGACGGAUGUAAAGACUGUGGAAACGGGUGCGCUACUAAAGUUGCAGGCGGUACUAGUAAGUGCCCUGGUACGUGAAGACUCUCUUGACUCCGGAGAACUGGUUUAUCGGUGGUUUGUGAUGGUGGUUGCUUGGUGCGAAGAGUAGAAAGCUCAUCCGGGCUAACGUUGACCUCCAUUUCCGAAAGACUGCUUACUCGACUUUGGAGUAGCGGCUGUUCUGUGUUGAUUGAAAAUCAUCGCUCGAGGUGUCGUAUUUGGAGAGCAUAAUAUUGAAUGAAUGAAAAAUAUAAUUAUGUAUGCGCAGGAAACAGGCGAAAUUAAGUUUAAAAUAUAUGCUUCUCAAAUUACAGUAAUCAGUCAUUCAGUGCAUUUUUUUUCUAAAUCGUCCUACUUACUCUUUGUUUACUCCUUUUCUAUGAAAAAAGUCUAUCUCACAUUCAGUGGAAAACGAUUUAAAUGAUAGGCAAUUAGAUAAUGCAAAUCCCCCUAUGACUUUUAUUGACAUUGUCUAUUUACAUAAAGUAGUUCGUCUUCCUUCCGAUAUGCAUCAGAACUGAGAGCGCAUUAUACAAGAAAACGUUUAUAUAGAGCAAAGAAUAUGAGUGCGUGUUUUAUUGGGUAAGAAUGAUAACGGAUAGGCAUGAUCGUGAAAAGAAAGAAGAAAGUUGCGUGCCGUAUUAUCCUUGUGUUUUAGGGACCGACUUACUACCAUUAUUACGGUAUUUGCCCUUUUUUUUUGGGGGGGGAGGGGGGUGGGGGUUACGGCGUUACGAGCUGACAUCAGAUAUCAAAUCAACUCCAAAACUCUAAUCUCAAAAUUCUAAAACUCAAAACUAAAUUUUAUCAAAAAUAAUCCUGCAGGGUAUUGGAGCCAAAUUGUUUAAUAAUUCGCCUGCUGCAAGUAUGAUCAUUUCUAGAUCGCUUAGGUCGUUUUAAGAACAAGCAAAAUAUUUACAUUUCAAGAAAAAGUUCCAGUUUAGCUUUAAGGGGUUAAUAUGUAAAUUUAGGUAGUUUUUAUAUUAAAUUGUAAAAUUGUAGCAUAUACAUUAUAUAUAUAUAUUUUGGGAUACAUUUGUCUUUUUCCAUAUAAUUUUGUUAUCCAGGUCUACCAUUUAUAUCAGCUUUGCUGAAGGGCAUUACCUGGGAAAAUAUUAGUAAACAAUAAAAAAAAAAAUAAUAACU